UACGUAGGGUGCAAGCGUUAAUCGGAAUUACUGGGCGUAAAGCGUGCGCAGGCGGUUAUGUAAGACAGAUGUGAAAUGCCCGGGCUUAACCUGGGAACUGCAUUUGUGACUGCAUGGCUAGAGUUUGGCAGAGGGGGGUAGAAUUCCACGUGUAGCAGUGAAAUGCGUAGAUAUCAGGAGGAACACCGAUGGCGAAGGCAGGUCUCUGGGCUGACACUGACGCUCAUGCACGAAAGCGUGGGGAGCAAACAGG
Molecule: ribosomal RNA, 253 nt
Filed under: uncultured bacterium
Lineage: Bacteria
Description: partial 16S ribosomal RNA
Rfam family: Bacterial small subunit ribosomal RNA
Source: RNAcentral